CGCGAAAAUAAACCAAUGAGCGCCUCAAAGCUUCCCAAGCUUCUGCCACAAUCGGAUGCGUCUCAAAAUCAGAACUUGACCUUGGGGUAUUAAGGCCUGACCUUUUACCAGGCGAAUAUACAGAAUCCAAAUGGUCUGUAAAUCUAGAAGUGUUUUCAGGUCUAGUUGUGUGACGAGGAGACACCCCAAUUGACAAUUCAUUAAUAGACCUUUCAUCAAAUGAUCUCUGCCUGUCCAUAUUCAAAGGCCUUGGUCUCUCUCUCUCCAAUAACUUGGAGAAAUCCAAUUCAUCGACUCCAGACAGAGUACAAUGGCUAUCAACAUUCCUUACGUUCCCAUUACGAGACAAAUCCACAGUGAGUCCAGACAUCUUCAAGCUUCUCAGCUGUAACUUUUACUGCUCUAUAACCUGAAACAAUCCAAGAUCAGUCUUUGGUAGGAUCCGAAUUCCAAACAAAG
This 459-nucleotide unclassified non-coding RNA is filed under the name Hevea brasiliensis (rubber tree). The record is from RNAcentral. Lineage: Eukaryota; Viridiplantae; Streptophyta; Magnoliopsida; Malpighiales; Euphorbiaceae.